AAAACGCUUUCGUUUUGGAGUACAAAAGCCACGGCGGCUUCGGGCUCCAAAACUUUCCUGCAUCUCUCUCUCUUUCGAUUCAAAGCCCUAAAUAAUCAGAAGAAGAAGAGAAAAGAUGGAGAUGGCUCCAAAGUGAAUCGGAAACUGUGUGUCCGAAUUGAGAUUAAUUUUUACUGUUUCUUGGAAAUCUAAUAAAGAUUGAUAGAGCUCCCUCCACCAGUGGAAGGAAGGUUGGUCUCUGUGAAGGUGUGAUAGAAAUAUUCUUUCGCGGACGCAUUUCCAACCACCUUUACUGUUGCGCCACUUGUUAGUGUUCCCGGCAAUAGUAAUUUUUUUGCUGAAAAAUCUUGCAUGAGAGAAAAUGGAUGGAAAGUUGGAAAUGUCCCUCGAUAAGCUUCCUGUCAAGCGCUUGGAAUCCAUCGAAGAAAAUGGCGUCGAACGUUUUCCUACUGAUAUUGGAUAUGAUGAGAAGCAAGUGUCGCUAAUUCGACGAAUAGAUUUUGCUUGGGCGUUGGAGAAAGAAGACAAGGAGAAGAAACAGAAGAAAAAGCAGAAGAAGAGCUCUAGAGAGAGCUCAUCUACAACAACACCAUGGCCAUGGCAAAACAUGGUGGAGAACUUGCACUUAGCUCAUCAAGAACUCACUGUCAUUGUUGAUCUUAUCCAUACGGUUGAAGCUAAUGAUGCUGUAACAGUAGCUGGGAUGACCAGGCCAAAGCCAUUACCCAAUGAGAUUCUGGCUGACCUUGCUGUAUCAACAGCAACGAAGCUACAGUGCUACCGGAAUCUUGGUAAAUAUUUUAAGCAGUCCGCCAAAGCUUUGGAACAGCAAGUUGCCAGGGAAGCAAGAUUUUAUGGUGCUUUAAUCAGAUUACAGCAGAACUGGAAAGUCAAACGGCAGCGUGUGGCAGCAAUUGCUCCUGGAAAUGAAGGCUUCAUGAUUGAUCUUUUUGAUAAUUCAUUAUAUGAUUCAGUUGCAGUAUUCCAUCCAUCUUCUCUGUCCACAAUUCGCAUUGAUCAUGACUCAGACGGCAUGCUAGCCAUAAAUUUACCUUCAAAAUCCUGUCAUUCUCUUCUUUUUGGUUUUCUCAGUGGGCAUUCUAAUGUUCCAAAGAAAUCCAAUAAGAUUAAAACCCAUGGCUCACUCAAGAAUCCAUCUAAAAAACCUGAGAAAGAAUCUUUAAGUGAUAAUGAAUGUGUGAAGGAUACACACUUACUGCUUCGUAAGGUUCAUCGAACCAUUUUUGAUGAACAGGUGUUUGAUAUGGUGAACCGUGGUGCAGUUAACCAGUCAUCUGGACUCAAUGUUACUGGAAUACAAGAAAAUUAUCUACAAUUGUGCAUAGGUCCUGGCAUUUCUAUAUUUAUAUCCAUUGUGCCAUCUGAUCAAGGUGAUCAAGCAAUUGAUAGUGAAGGCCCGGAGAACUUAGAACCUGCAGUUGUACCUUUAGACUCGUUUGACGGAGUGAAGUUAGCUGAAGAAAAGCACAACAGUCUUACUAAAAAGCCUAGUUUUCCUAACUGCAUUACUUAUGAAAUAUAUCUCAAACAGAUAUUUCAUGAGUAUGUAUUUGUAGAAGCAAAGGGUAGACCUUCUUUCACUAGUACUCGCAUGCCUGGUCAACCAGCAAAUGAUGGAUCUGGUCUUCUCAGUCAUUUCUGUUUGUCUCUCUCUCAUAGAAUAAUUUCGAACAAAGUUCUUAUGGAGUUGGAAAACGUGGUUUGCAGAGUGCCAUAUCUUCAUUUGAUAUCUCACCCCACUUGGCAUUCUCGGUCGUCUGCAUGGACAAUCUUUAUGAAGAUUCCUCCGUCCAUUCUCCAUGCAAGCUCUCAAGCCCGGACGCCGGACAUCCAAAACAUGAAGAAUGUUGUUAAAUCAGAGUUUUGGACUAAGAUUGUGGUACAUGAUGAUUGCAUUAACAUUGAAGCAGAAGGAGCUCCUAAUGUUGUUGGACUAUUUAAAGACAGUUCUGAUGAUAUAUGUUCUACCAACAAAUAUGACUGCAACUUGGAUGAUCUUCCUGUGAUAAUCCUGCAACAGGUUGCAAGCCAGGUUAUUCGCUGGCUUCAUGAGGAAGCACUUGCAGUGGGAAUAAAAGCAAAUCGUGACUUUUUGUGUUUGUCCUUUGAGUUGGACCAGGGUGAGAUUCUCAACCUCGUGGCACAUGUGGACCCAGAAGAUACUCAAGGAUGCAUCUCCUGGUGGUUGACAAUGGAAGACGGUUUUGCUGAGGAGAAGAAACUUCAUAUGAACAUUGCGGAUGGUGCCUCCGAAUAUAGGAAGUUCUUGGGAUAUUUACCGUUGGAUGUGCUAUACUCAACACUGAUGGAUUUAGUUAGUUUGUGUGGUGGUGGGAGCCAUUGAGAAAGCACGUCUUUCUUGACUGAUUAAUUGAAGAGACUUCAGAGACCACACUAUUGUGCAUAAUUUUGCUGCGGAAUCUAAUUUUGGACGCAUAACCAUGAACUGGUCAUUUUGAAGUCCAUACCUCGUAGAGCUAACAGGCAUGCUACCCAAGUGAGAAAUCCCACAAGCAACGGAGAAUGAGAUCCAUGUGGACAGCGGGAAAGAGGAGACAGAUUGACACCAAUGGUCUCUGAGCAUUGAUGCUCAAUUCUGGCGAUCUCUUGACAGGCGUUCCUUGGAGCGAAUGGAAUGGCUAAUCAGCAUCCGCUGAAUCUUGGUUUUUUUUUUUU
Molecule: RNA transcript, 2697 nt
Organism: Populus euphratica (Euphrates poplar)
Lineage: Eukaryota; Viridiplantae; Streptophyta; Magnoliopsida; Malpighiales; Salicaceae
Gene name: RNA polymerase II transcription mediator
Exons: 10
Source: RefSeq, a predicted model, not a curated record